AACGAACGCUGGCGGCAUGCCUAACACAUGCAAGUCGAACGAGACCUUCGGGUCUAGUGGCGCACGGGUGCGUAACGCGUGGGAACCUGCCCUUAGGUUCGGAAUAACUCCCCGAAAGGGGUGCUAAUACCGGAUAAUGUCUUCGGACCAAAGAUUUAUCGCCUUUGGAUGGGCCCGCGUUGGAUUAGCUAGUUGGUAGGGUAAUAGCCUACCAAGGCGACGAUCCAUAGCUGGUCGGAGAGGAUGAUCAGCCACACUGGGACUGAGACACGGCCCAGACUCCUACGGGAGGCAGCAGUGGGGAAUAGUGGACAAUGGGCGAAAGCAUGAUCCAGCAAUGCCGCGUGAGUGAUGAAGGCCUUAGGGUUGUAAAGCUCUUUUAACCGGGAUGAUAAUGACAGUACCGGGAGAAUAAGCUCCGGCUAACUCCGUG
Molecule: ribosomal RNA, 433 nt
Filed under: uncultured bacterium
Lineage: Bacteria
Description: partial 16S ribosomal RNA
Rfam family: Bacterial small subunit ribosomal RNA
Source: RNAcentral